Aegilops tauschii subsp. strangulata is the source of this 2291-nucleotide RNA transcript. RefSeq lists it as uncharacterized. The record is from RefSeq and is a predicted model, not a curated record. Lineage: Eukaryota; Viridiplantae; Streptophyta; Magnoliopsida; Poales; Poaceae.
CACUCCAGCCGUCGCUGCCCCCUUCUCCCUCCCAGAUCCAAUCCAAGUCAGAACCCCUCGCCCUCCCACCCCGGCCUCCAUCUCCAUUCCUGCGCGCGUCGGCCACCUCCCUCCGACGGAGUUCGACCCCCACCCCCAAGCACCGUUGCUCCACCCUCUCCGGUGCCCAUCCACAGAUCGAGCGAGGGGUGAGGCAGCGCCCAGAUCCAUUGCCCUGCCGGAAUGAGAUGCAGCACCAGAUCCCUCCUUAUUCCUGACCUCUGGUGGCGCUGUCGCAGCCACCUUCGACGCUGCGGCUCUCCUACUUCGUCCAGCCUCGUGCCUACGCCUCCCCCCUCUCCCCUCGCGCCCACGCCUCCCCCGCCCUCGUCGGACUCACCAUCAUCUGCUGCACCGAGGAGAUAGGCAUGUGUGAGUCCUCCCUCUCGGGGGAGGCAGAGGGGCGCCGCGGCGGUGAUGGGGAACAAGAUCGCGCGGACGACGCAGGCCUCGGUGACGGAGUACUACCUGCAACCUCGUGCUGCUCGACCUCGUCAGCCGCGACCGCAUCCACUGCAAGCACGACGAGGGCCUCCUCCUCGUCAAGGUGUACUUCAAGCGCACCGGAGAGCCCCUCGACCUCAAGGUGACUAGUCAAUCAACAUUUGCUGGAAUCAUGCACCGUGCUGGUGUUAGUCGCAAUGAUCAGCUUCAAUAGGAUGACCAGUACCUGAACAUGAUGCAUAUUUAUUAAAAAAAAUGGUAAUGCAUUUUGCUCAUACCAGGGUACUCGAUUUAGUCUAUUGCGAAUGCUAAUAGACCAUGAUAACUUGUAUAUUGGACCUGCCCCCUCUCUCUGUUUGACUCGUCAAUCUCUCUAUAUCUUUCUGAAGGCGCCGCCGGGUUCGAGGGUGGAGCCCGAGGCUCCACUGGAGCAUGGAUCAGACGUGCAGGAGGUGGAGCUCCGCAUGGAUCACGACGUGGUCGUCGUGGGGGCCUGGACCAUUAGGUCCGCAGGCGGCAUCGGGGGCGGUGCAGUGCCAGCUGCUGGACAUGGUUCACCCGGGGUUGGUGUUGAUGCACAAGGUUAGGAGGCGUUCUGGCCUGAUUGAUCUGUUCUGGAGUGAUACGCUUAGGCGGCUUGGCUUAGAUGGCUGCGAUGCGAUGCUCAUUUUGGGGUGUUUUGCGGGUGAAUUUCGAUGCCAAGACGGAGUACGACAUGAUCCAGAACUACUGGAUUCUCCUGGAUGUGUUCAACAAGUUGCAGAUAGGCAAGGUACGGGUGGUGAUUCUCCUGGCUUAGAUCUCUAUCCGUGGAUUUAUCUGUGAUUGUGUCUUGCAUUUUGUCAUCUGGGAAAGCAAAUGUGAUCUGUCUGUACAGUAGUUCGGUUUAUAUAUGCGGUGUGUGGGGAUUCAAUCUGGAACAGUUGUGUGUGAUUGAUGUCAGCAUGUGGUAUAGCCACAAGGUGAUUUGAUAACUAACUAAAUUUGUUGUGCACUAUUGAAGUUAUGCUCAUUGAUGUGUACAGUACUAAACUUGUACAAUUCUUGUCCUGUUUCCACACAACAUUAAGAUUAGAGUCGUGCUUUUUGAAUGUUUUGCCGAUUUUUAUGGCCUGUGUGCUAGCAAACUGAACUAAGAGUGCUUCAUCUUUGUCCUUCAACUUCUAUUCUUAUGAAAAUUAAAUAGAGGAUCUAUUUUGCUCCCUGCUCUGAUUGGCUUUAAUCGAUAUUUGUCCCAUCCAACACUCUGAGUAUCAAUGUGUUGUUUUAAUCCUGAUGAUGAUGUGGUAGUAUGAAGUGGACACCAUAUUCCUGUUUAAAUGCAUAAGGAAUAAUUUGAUUCAUCAUGUCCUUGUUUACCCAUGCCAGAUUUGUUGCUUCCGGAACUCUUGGUCCUUCAUAUCUAAAGUUUACAUGUACUGUAGAAGAUCUACUUUAUGCUAAUACCUACUUGUGUAACAUUUUGCAUGGUAUACUUCUAAAUGGACAAGUACAUGCGGCGUCCAUCAUCAACGAUGAUGCGGACUAGAUGUUCAACUUCAAAACCAUCCAUCAUAUCAACACAAAGUCAGAUGUUUUGCAAAAGGAAGAAGCGGUACUUGAAGAAGCAGAUUACAAUGUUUUCUCAUCGUGAAGCACUAGAUAGGCUUGUUCUAUUUAUUUUUCCUGUUCUGGAGUAUUCCAGCACCUGAAUGCUUGACUACAACAUGUUGUAGGUUGCUUGGAUUUGUAUAAAAUACAUAUGUGAUGGAAAUUUGUAGAAUGUGUGUUCUGAGAUAUUUUCGUAAUAUUCAGCUAAUUCGUGGUAA